RNAcentral lists this ribosomal RNA (779 nucleotides) under uncultured Lactobacillus sp. RNAcentral's name for it is "bacterial SSU rRNA". It matches the Rfam family "Bacterial small subunit ribosomal RNA", at positions 28 to 776 of the family's 1533-position model. The record is from RNAcentral. Lineage: Bacteria; Bacillati; Bacillota; Bacilli; Lactobacillales; Lactobacillaceae.
GACGAACGCUGGCGGCGUGCCUAAUACAUGCAAGUCGAACGAAACUUUCUUACACCGAAUGCUUGCAUUCACCGUAAGAAGUUGAGUGGCGGACGGGUGAGUAACACGUGGGUAACCUGCCUAAAAGAAGGGGAUAACACUUGGAAACAGGUGCUAAUACCGUAUAUCUCUAAGGAUCGCAUGAUCCUUAGAUGAAAGAUGGUUCUGCUAUCGCUUUUAGAUGGACCCGCGGCGUAUUAACUAGUUGGUGGGGUAACGGCCUACCAAGGUGAUGAUACGUAGCCGAACUGAGAGGUUGAUCGGCCACAUUGGGACUGAGACACGGCCCAAACUCCUACGGGAGGCAGCAGUAGGGAAUCUUCCACAAUGGACGCAAGUCUGAUGGAGCAACGCCGCGUGAGUGAAGAAGGUCUUCGGAUCGUAAAACUCUGUUGUUAGAGAAGAACACGAGUGAGAGUAACUGUUCAUUCGAUGACGGUAUCUAACCAGCAAGUCACGGCUAACUACGUGCCAGCAGCCGCGGUAAUACGUAGGUGGCAAGCGUUGUCCGGAUUUAUUGGGCGUAAAGGGAACGCAGGCGGUCUUUUAAGCCUGAUGUGAAAGCCUUCGGCUUAACCGGAGUAGUGCAUUGGAAACUGGAAGACUUGAGUGCAGAAGAGGAGAGUGGAACUCCAUGUGUAGCGGUGAAAUGCGUAGAUAUAUGGAAGAACACCAGUGGCGAAAGCGGCUCUCUGGUCUGUAACUGACGCUGAGGUUCGAAAGCGUGGGUAGCAAACAGG